AAAAACUCCGGUGGUAUGAGAUGGACCCGCGUCUGAUUAGCUAGUUGGUGAGGUAACGGCCCACCAAGGCGACGAUCAGUAGCCGGCCUGAGAGGGCGACCGGCCACAUUGGGACUGAGACACGGCCCAAACUCCUACGGGAGGCAGCAGUGGGGAAUAUUGCACAAUGGGGGAAACCCUGAUGCAGCGACGCCGCGUGAGUGAAGAAGUAUUUCGGUAUGUAAAGCUCUAUCAGCAGGGAAGAAGAAAGACGGUACCUGACUAAGAAGCCCCGGCUAACUACGUGCCAGCAGCCGCGGUAAUACGUAGGGGGCAAGCGUUAUCCGGAUUUACUGGGUGUAAAGGGAGCGUAGACGGCUGUGCAAGUCUGAAGUGAAAGCCCAGGGCUCAACCCUGGGACUGCUUUGGAAACUGUGGAGCUAGAGUGCUGGAGAGGUAAGUGGAAUUCCUAGUGUAGCGGUGAAAUGCGUAGAUAUUAGGAGGAACACCAGUGGCGAAGGCGGCUUACUGGACAGUAACUGACGUUGAGGCUCGAAAGCGUGGGGAGCAAACAGGAUUAGAUACCCUGGUAGUCCACGCGGU
This 582-nucleotide ribosomal RNA is filed under the name uncultured bacterium. RNAcentral's name for it is "bacterial SSU rRNA". It matches the Rfam family "Bacterial small subunit ribosomal RNA", at positions 202 to 803 of the family's 1533-position model. The record is from RNAcentral.